RNAcentral lists this ribosomal RNA (593 nucleotides) under uncultured Nitrosomonadaceae bacterium. Its description in RNAcentral is "bacterial SSU rRNA". It matches the Rfam family "Bacterial small subunit ribosomal RNA", at positions 327 to 916 of the family's 1533-position model. Lineage: Bacteria; Pseudomonadati; Pseudomonadota; Betaproteobacteria; Nitrosomonadales; Nitrosomonadaceae. The record is from RNAcentral.
UUCGCCUUACUCUACGGGAGGCAGCAGUGGGAAUUUUGGACAAUGGGGGCAUCCUGAUCCAGCCAUGCCGCGUGAGUGAAGAAGGCCUUCGGGUUGUAAAGCUCUUUCGGCCGGAACGAAAUCGCGUACGUGAAUAACGUGCGUGGAUGACGGUACUGGAAGAAGAAGCACCGGCUAACUACGUGCCAGCAGCCGCGGUAAUACGUAGGGUGCGAGCGUUAACCGGAAUUACUGGGCGUAAAGCGUGCGUAGGCGGUUUCGCAAGUCAGAUGUGAAAUCCCCGGGCUUAACCUGGGAACUGCGUUUGAAACUACGGAGCUAGAGUGUGGCAGAGGGGGGUGGAAUUCCACGUGUAGCAGUGAAAUGCGUAGAUAUGUGGAGGAACACCGAUGGCGAAGGCAACCCCCUGGGCCAACACUGACGCUGAGGCACGAAAGCGUGGGGAGCAAACAGGAUUAGAUACCCUGGUAGUCCACGCCCUAAACUAUGUCAACUAGUUGUCGGGAAAGCAAUUUCUUGGUAACGAAGCUAACGCGUGAAGUUGACCGCCUGGGGAGUACGGUCGCAAGAUUAAAACUCAAAGGAAUUGACGG